AGAGCGAACGCUGGCGGCAGGCCUAACACAUGCAAGUCGAGCGCCCGUAGCAAUACGGGAGCGGCAGACGGGAUAGUAACACGUGGGAACGCGCCCUUCGGUUCGGAAUAACUCAGGGAAACUUGAGCUAAUACCGGAUACGCCCUUACGGGGAAAGAUUUAUUGCCGAAGGAACGGCCCGCGUCCGAUUAGCUAGUUGGUGAGGUAAUGGCUCACCAAGGCGACGAUCGGUAGCUGGUCUGAGAGGAUGACCAGCAUCACUGGGACUGAGACACGGCCCAGACUCCUACGGGAGGCAGCAGUGGGGAAUAUGGACAAUGGGCGCAAGCCUGAUCCAGCCAUGCCGCGUGGAUGAUGAAGGCCUUAGGAUUGUAAAAUUCUUUCAGCGGGGACGAUAAUGACGGUACCGCAGAAGAACGCCCGGCUAACUCGUGCCAGCAGCCGC
This 445-nucleotide ribosomal RNA is filed under the name uncultured bacterium. RNAcentral describes it as "SSU rRNA". It matches the Rfam family "Bacterial small subunit ribosomal RNA", at positions 26 to 518 of the family's 1533-position model. The record is from RNAcentral.